This 49-nucleotide non-coding RNA is filed under the name Trichobilharzia regenti. Lineage: Eukaryota; Metazoa; Platyhelminthes; Trematoda; Strigeidida; Schistosomatidae. The record is from RNAcentral.
GUACUGCUGAAGAGUCCCAAACUGGUGGGACGAAACAGUUGUUCAGUAC